ACGCUAGCGGCAGGCCUAAUACAUGCAAGUCGAACGGUAACAUUGGUGCUUGCACCAGAUGACGAGUGGCGCACGGGUGCGUAACGCGUAUGCAACCUACCUUUUACUAGAGUAUAGCCCAGAGAAAUUUGGAUUAAUCCUCUAUAAUAUCUUUUAAUCUCCUGAUUUUAAGAUUAAAGUUUUAACGGUAAAAGAUGGGCAUGCGUCCUAUUAGUUUGUAGGUGAGGUAACGGCUCACCUAGACUACGAUAGGUAGGGGCCCUGAGAGGGGGAUCCCCCACACUGGUACUGAGACACGGACCAGACUCCUACGGGAGGCAGCAGUAAGGAAUAUUGGACAAUGGACGAAAGUCUGAUCCAGCCAUGCCGCGUGCAGGAUGACAGCCCUACGGGUUGUAAACUGCUUUUAUACAGGAAGAAACACUCCGACGUGUCGGAG
RNAcentral lists this ribosomal RNA (439 nucleotides) under uncultured Flavobacteriaceae bacterium. Its description in RNAcentral is "bacterial SSU rRNA". It matches the Rfam family "Bacterial small subunit ribosomal RNA", at positions 33 to 467 of the family's 1533-position model. The record is from RNAcentral. Lineage: Bacteria; Pseudomonadati; Bacteroidota; Flavobacteriia; Flavobacteriales; Flavobacteriaceae.